GUGAGGAAUAUUGGUCAAUGGGCGAGAGCCUGAACCAGCCAAGUCGCGUGAAGGAAGAAGGAUCUAUGGUUCGUAAACUUCUUUUGCAGGGGAAUAAAGUGCAGGACGUGUCCUGUUUUGUAUGUACCCUGAGAAUAAGGAUCGGCUAACUCCGUGCCAGCAGCCGCGGUAAUACGGAGGAUCCGAGCGUUAUCCGGAUUUAUUGGGUUUAAAGGGUGCGUAGGUGGUUUGAUAAGUCAGCGGUGAAAAUUUGCAGCUUAACUGUAAAAAUGCCGUUGAAACUGUCGGACUUGAGUGUAAAUGAGGUAGGCGGAAUGCGUGGUGUAGCGGUGAAAUGCAUAGAUAUCACGCAGAACUCCGAUUGCGAAGGCAGCUUACUAAGCUACAACUGACACUGAAGCACGAAAGCGUGGGGAUCAAACAGGAUUAGAUACCCCGGUAGUCC
Molecule: ribosomal RNA, 445 nt
Filed under: uncultured bacterium
Lineage: Bacteria
Description: partial 16S ribosomal RNA
Rfam family: Bacterial small subunit ribosomal RNA
Source: RNAcentral